ACAGCAGCAGCCACGGUAAUACGGAGGGGGCUAGCGUUGUUCGGAAUUACUGGGCGUAAAGCGUACGUAGGCGGCUUUGUAAGUUAGAGGUGAAAGCCUGGAGCUCAACUCCAGAAUUGCCUUUAAGACUGCAUCGCUUGAACGUCGGAGAGGUGAGUGGAAUUCCGAGUGUAGAGGUGAAAUUUGUAGAUAUUCGGAAGAACACCAGUGGCGAAGGCAGCUCACUGGACGACUGUUGACGCUGAGGUACGAAAGCGUGGGGAGCAAACAGGAUUAGAUACCCGAGUAGUCCCUGUCUCUUAUAC
RNAcentral lists this ribosomal RNA (305 nucleotides) under uncultured bacterium. RNAcentral's name for it is "partial 16S ribosomal RNA". It matches the Rfam family "Bacterial small subunit ribosomal RNA", at positions 506 to 807 of the family's 1533-position model. The record is from RNAcentral.